GAAAACCCCUGGGCAUGGCCGAACCUCUGAAUAAUCGAGAACAACAUCUAACAAGUCACAGCAGAUGAUGUCCCAACACGACUGGUAAAAUCUACUACAGAACCCAUCCGGACCAAGAGCACUAUCAGGAUCAAUAGAAAAUAUCACCCUUCUAACCUCAUCCAUAUUCGACUCUCUGCAUAACCCUACAUCAUCCUCUGCAGACACAAGAGAUGGAAUAAAGUCAAAAUCCGUCUGCUAGAACUGGCUGGCACCUCCCACCAAUAAUUC
Molecule: long non-coding RNA, 270 nt
Filed under: Citrus maxima (pomelo)
Lineage: Eukaryota; Viridiplantae; Streptophyta; Magnoliopsida; Sapindales; Rutaceae
Description: long non-coding RNA (CMAX_LNC000342)
Source: RNAcentral